ACGGAGGGUGCAAGCGUUAUUCGGAAUUACUGGGCGUAAAGCGCGUGUAGGCGGCCCUGCAAGUCUGAUGUGAAAGCCCCGGGCUUAACCCGGGAAGUGCAUUGGAAACUGCAGGUCUUGAGUACUGGAGAGGAUGGGGGAAUUCCCGGUGGCGAGGUAGAAGGCGGAUAGAUGGGGAGGAAUAGCAGUGGCGUGGGCGCACAGCUGUAUGGGAACUGCGGCUGGUACGAGUAAGUGUGUGGAGUGAUGUG
This 251-nucleotide ribosomal RNA is filed under the name uncultured prokaryote. RNAcentral's name for it is "partial 16S rRNA". It matches the Rfam family "Bacterial small subunit ribosomal RNA", at positions 525 to 775 of the family's 1533-position model. The record is from RNAcentral.